GGAGAGUUUGAUCAUGGCUCAGAACUAACGCUUGUGGUGUGUCUUAGUCAUGCAAGUCGAACGAGAAAGUCACCUUCGGGUGACGAGUACAGUGGCGAACGGGUGAGCAACACGUGGGCAACCUGCCCCUGGGUUGGGGAUAACACUUCCAACGAAGUGCUAAUACCGAAUGACAAGGCGAGUUGAUGACUCGUUUUUAAAGGUGGCCUCUACUUGUAAGCUGCCGCCUAGGGAUGGGCCCGCGUCGUAUUAGCUUGUUGGUAGGGUAAUGGCCUACCAAGGCGACGAUGCGUAGCCGGCCUGAGAGGGUGAACGGCCACACUGGCACUGAGAUAAGGGCCAGUCUCCUACGGGAGCCAGUAGUCUAGAAAUUUGCACAAUCGCCGAAAGGCGGAUGCAGCGACACCACGUGGAGGAUGAAGCCCCUCGGGGUGUAAACUCCUGUCAGAAGGGAAGAAGGCGCGGGCGUUAAUACCGCUCGUUGCUUGACGGUACCUUCAGAGGAAGGUCCCGCUAACUACGUGCCAGCAGCCGCGGUAAUACGUAGGGACCGCGCGUUGUUGCCAUUACCCCGGCGUCAAGGUCAUGUAGGGGGGUACCCUCGUCGAGUGCGAAAUCCUUUCACUCAGCCGGAUAGUAGCAGCUGUUAGCCCCCGUUUCCAGUCCAGCAGAGGGAAUCAAGGUCCCAGGUGUAGCGUGGAAUCACCCGAUAUCCGGGGGAACAUCCCCGGAGAAGGCGGAUUCCUUGGACGGUCAUGACUUAGGCGUGCGAACAGUAAGGGAUCGAACCCGAUAUCAUACUCUGC
Molecule: ribosomal RNA, 806 nt
Filed under: uncultured endophytic bacterium
Lineage: Bacteria
Description: bacterial SSU rRNA
Rfam family: Bacterial small subunit ribosomal RNA
Source: RNAcentral